GGUAGACGCUACGGACUUAAAAUAAUUUGAGCUUUAGGAGAAAAACUUACUAAAUGUUAGCUUUCAGAUUCAGGGAAAUUUAGGUUGAAAAAAAUAUAAGUAAUCCUGAGCCAAAUUAUUUUAUUAUUAAAAAUAAAAAAAUAGGUGCAGAGACUCGAUGGAAGCUAUCCUAACGCAAAAAAGUUUAACAUUAUUUAAUUGAAAUUUAAAAGUUAAUCGAACUAAAAAAAAUUUAAUUAAGUUAUUAUUUAAUUAAAUAAUAAGCGAGGAUAAAGAUAGAGUCCAAAUUUAGAUGUUAAUUUUUUAGCAACAAUUUAAAUUGUAGUAAAAAGAAAAUCCGUUGGCUUUAUUGACCGUGAGGGUUCAAGUCCCUCUAUCCCCAAUAUUUUAUGAAUUUUUUCUAUUAACAUAAUCGUUUUAUGUUAAGAUAGUUUAAAUAGAAAGCCGGAAUAGCUCAGUUGGUAGAGCAGAGGACUGAAAAUCCUCGUGUCAC
RNAcentral lists this unclassified non-coding RNA (493 nucleotides) under Calymperes tahitense. RNAcentral's name for it is "partial contains tRNA-Leu, trnL-trnF intergenic spacer, and tRNA-Phe". The stretch from base 9 to 305 matches the Rfam family "Group I catalytic intron". From Rfam's summary of the family: Group I catalytic introns are large self-splicing ribozymes. They catalyse their own excision from mRNA, tRNA and rRNA precursors in a wide range of organisms. The core secondary structure consists of 9 paired regions (P1-P9). The record is from RNAcentral. Lineage: Eukaryota; Viridiplantae; Streptophyta; Bryopsida; Dicranales; Calymperaceae.